GCAAGUCGAACGGUAACAUAAGGAGCUUGCUCCUUGAUGACGAGUGGCGGACGGGUGAGUAACGCGUAGGGAUCUACCUUCUGGUGGGGGAUAGCCCGGAGAAAUCCGGAUUAAUACCGCAUAAGACCUAAGGGUGAAAAGGGGCCAAUUCUUGAAAGCUCUUGCCGGAAGAUGAACCUGCGUUAGAUUAGCUAGUUGGUGGGGUAAAGGCCUACCAAGGCUGCGAUGGUUAGCUGGUCUGAGAGGAUGAUC
This 252-nucleotide ribosomal RNA is filed under the name uncultured bacterium. RNAcentral describes it as "partial 16S ribosomal RNA". It matches the Rfam family "Bacterial small subunit ribosomal RNA", at positions 57 to 305 of the family's 1533-position model. The record is from RNAcentral.